GAUGAACGCUGGCGGCAUGCCUAACACAUGCAAGUCGAACGGGAAGUGGUGUUUCGCGUGCCGGCCGGGUGAGCAACGCGCGAGAAGGUGCCGUUGGGAGGGGAACAACAGUUGUAAAGGGCGGCAAAGACGCCGUAGUUUGAGGAGCAAAAGAAGGAAUCCGCCUGAGGAGGGGCUGGCUAUUGAUUAGCUAGUUGGUGAGGCAAUAGCUUACCAAGGCGAUGAGCUGGAGAGGGUGCGAGAGGAUGAUGAGCCACACUGCAACUGAGACACGGGCCGGGCACCUUCGGAAAGCAGCAGUAGGGAAUUUCCCGCAAUGCGCGAAAGGCUGACAGGGCAAUGCCGCGUGGAAGUAGAAGGGUUACGAAUCAAGAACUUCAGUUUACGAAGCAGAAGCAAUGACGGUAUCUGGAGAAUAAGCACCGGCUAACUCUGUG
This 437-nucleotide ribosomal RNA is filed under the name uncultured bacterium. RNAcentral describes it as "partial 16S ribosomal RNA". It matches the Rfam family "Bacterial small subunit ribosomal RNA", at positions 28 to 507 of the family's 1533-position model. The record is from RNAcentral.